Molecule: long non-coding RNA, 5840 nt
Organism: Bombus pyrosoma
Lineage: Eukaryota; Metazoa; Arthropoda; Insecta; Hymenoptera; Apidae
Exons: 6
Source: RefSeq, a predicted model, not a curated record
UCUACAUUAUUUUUAUUUUUUGAACUAGUGAUAAUGUAAAGUCAAUUACUUUUGACAGAUCAAAGAAUAAUAUUCCUAACUAAAUAUUCAUAAAACAAAUAACUUUAUUCUCAAACUUUACCACGCAAGAUUUCCAACCGUACUUCAUUCCACAAACUCAAAAAUCUCACGCAACGCAAGCAUCUUUCAAUUUUUGGUUACCGCCGAAACCCAAAAGGAUAAUCGCUUGUUUGUUACCGCUCCUAGGAACAAGCCUUCUGUUCUUAUUGGAAAGCCAAGUAUCUGUCGAAUUAACAUAAAUCCUUUUUAAAUAAUAAAUCUUCUGUUAAGUGUAAUGAAUCCGUGAAAAACGAGGAUGACUGAGAAGUAGAGAAGUGCCAGAAUACGAAGCGCCUUUUGUAGAGGUUAGGACGACCAGUGGCGAUAAACUGUUCUGACGCAGCUGUAAAAUAGGCCAAGACUUUAGAACGAUACUCGCUGCUUGCUGCUUAGCCUCGUUAUUAACCAAGACUUGGAUAUUUGGAUACCCUUAAUCUCUUUUCUACGAUUCUACCGAGUCUAACCUGCUUGACUGAACAGUGACAAAUAAUAUCAAGUUGCCUACUGCGAUGCCAGCGCUACUCUGGACUCGCUAUCUCAUUUUAAAGGACACGCCACCGAAGAUGAUCCUCCGUUGACAAAAGGUGUCGAGACCGAACCUGGAUCGUUGUCCGGAAUUUUUCCCAAAAUUGCCAGCGCCGCUUUACCGGAUGCAAUUGACACGCGUGAUAAAAUAAAUGAUUGAUCGAGUGCUUGCGUAAAUAUUGUGAAGGAUAAUAGAGAUAUACGGAAAGAGGAGUUAUACAAGGUGUCUCACACAAACACGUGAAAAUACCACGUUUCAAUGAAACUUGAAACUACAAAUAUAAUUUACCGAUAUUAAUCAUCAUACCAUAACUGCAGCUCGAUGCUAUGAGGCAAGAGAAUAAAAUCGUUUAAAACAAGAUUCGUAUCGACGAAAGUGGAAACCGCGGCAAAGAAACGGUAGAAAUCAAGGUAAAAGACGAUCACCAUUCGCUUUCGUAUACUCCCUUCCCCUCAUUACUCACAAUCAGUCGAACGUCUGCGCGGUUAUGCAUACGAAAUACAUAGCUGUGUAUAUCCUUAUCCAGGCCAAGUUCAUCAACUGGGAGAAAGAACACUGAACACCUAACAAGACCAAGAAAAAGAACGAAACGCAGAAGGAAAGACAGAAAGAAAAAAACAUAUACGCACACGGCAGCAUCGUCAAGAUCCUUCACGAGUCAGUUCGAUGAGGAGAACGGCAGAGAAACGAUACGCGAUGAAGAUAGACGACAACAGAGGAAUCACGAAGGGAAGAGAGAAAGGAGGAGCCAGUUCAACGAGUUCUAAGGCGGUGGCGGGUCUUAAAAAGAUGUCGAACGCUUUGAUGUUUGCCGCACGUCAUCUUGUGCGCUACCUCUGCGCGCUGAUCCACGCUACAACCAACGACUAGCGAGGGAUUGCCGAAAGAUCGCGAUCAAGAGGGUAGAAUCGCGUGCAGGAAUGGACAACAACGAUACCAACAUAUGAAUUAUACAAAACUCAAAUAAAUCCAAAACACCAUACAAGACUUUCCAAAUCACAGCUGGAAUAACCUGGGCGUGUGCUUUCGAGGACUUUCCACGAUCUCGAGAAAUGAAGUGCUCAUCGAUACUGCUCUCCUGACAAAUGUGCGCAUUGUCGGUGAACAGCGUGCUUCCAACUUCACAAUUACAUCGUUGCUCGGUUAUUCGAUGUAAAAGGAGAACCAGGAUGCUUUCCAUCGACGGGAGCCGGUCCGUUCUGGACGAACGGAUCGUUGAAUGCCGGCAGAUCCUUUUUACGCUUCCUCCCCAGAGGAUCGGUCGCUUCCUACGAUUCGUCAUCGGCAAAAACUUCUCUUCUCAAUGACCGAACGUCGCUGAAUGUAUCCCGAACGACGUAUCCAUGAACGGGUACACCUGUAGCUACUGGCUGCUAUUCCCGAAAUAAUUCGGGCCAUAAUAAUAAGCCCGGAGCCGGAACGAACACAAGGACGACGGCCCAUUGACUCCGUUUUUCGUGCGAGUGAAUAGGAACGAGACGAAUUGUGCACACGAUGAAUCGGCACCAUAGCUCUCUCGAGGCUAGUGGGUCCUUGAAUGAAGAUGUCGUCGCUGUUUCCGCAGAGAAAUAACAUCGAGUCGAUCCUACGAUUGUCCAUAAAUUAUAUCCUCUACUCCAGUUUGUUAUUUCUCCGGCUAUUCUUUUCUAUUGGUAUUUGGGGAUUUUUCCGGUUAGCUGUUUACUUACCUGCGCAGUUGAGUGUGAUGGCAUUUUUAGCGAAUUGUCAAGCGCAAGAGAGGCUCUGCGGUUAAUGCUGUUUUAUUAGCUGUCUGGCGUUUAUAAGUCGAACGGCGACGAGGUAGCAAUACGGCUUGCAACGUCUUAUCUUAUUUGAUACAAUCCCAACGGUUGGAAGAAAGAUGACAAUAUCGAAUAAUUGGUUUCUCACAUGCUGUGACACAUAGCUAUAAGUGCACUUCUAGUCGCAGGGGCAGCGGCAUGUAGAGAUCUGGCUGUUCCAAAUUCGAGGUACGGAUGUAAAAUAAUGUAUCUGGACCUAUGGCAAAUAAUUCGAGUUAAAGUAACUUUUAUUUAAUUUUAGCGAAAUGAAUUAAUUUUAACAAAAUUGGUUAGAGAGGUUUCCAAGUAAUAAAGGUUCAACUAUAUAUACAUAUGAACGUUAUCAAAUUUUCAACUUUGAUUCCUUCUUUGCCAGAACGUCGCUAAAAUAUCCUGGAUACACGCAAGUUGGCGUAACGAGAAGAAAGUCACAACGUUUAACUCCCUGCGAACAAAACAUCCUGUACCCCAAUAUCGAUAACUACCCAAUUGUGCAGCCUCUGGAGGUUCGUUUCUGAUGUAAUCAGGGAAUACGCAGGGGGUGCUACUAAUUGUAAUCGUAUAAUACAGUCGACCGAGGGGUAACGGGCAUCGCAAAGAAUUGAUUCUGGUUACGUUAAUAUAAUCAGAAAUUCAGGACUUGCUCGUCCCUGCCCUUAUGAAAUAUGUACCACGGGAGUUGACAGUAUUCGCGUCUUAUUUAUUUACCGCCCACAGCACGAUCGCAGAAAAUCAACGACCCGUUUCGAGCAUUUGCUGCGCUCUGCACGAAAAUAUAUUUUGGCACGACAGUGGAAAGUUUUUAAGAAUCAAAAAAGUGUCCAUAUCUCUGGAAUGUUCGUAUUUCAGUGCGCGCAAAUGUUUAUUCGAUUAUAGGUCAACUUAGAUCUCGCACCAGUUCCCGGGUCUCUCUCGAUCGCAGCCGGGACGGUCAUCGUGGAGGUUUUAGUCCGUUGGAGUCCGAUACUACCACGCUGCUUUCCCCAGAAGUGGCCUGGUGUCCGUGCGGAUUUCCUCCACGUUAAAAAAAGGAAAAGGUCAACUUAAUAUUUUAUAUGAUAUUUUUUAAAGUAAUGCUAUUUCUAAAUUGAAUAUGUUGAUUAAAUUUUGAUUACCAUGAUUAAUUGGGUCCUCUUGCACAGGUAUAAUACUUGCAUAACAUUAACAAGUUUCGCAAUAAAGCAAACGAAGAAACGAAUUAGACGACUGUUCUGUAUUAUUGUGCAAGAAGCUGCUGUUUUUCCAAAAGCUAGCUAUCCUUCCAAAAGAAUAUAGAACGUUACGGUAAGGAAUCACGAAAGGUAAGACUAAUAUUAAGCCACGUUUCUAACGUUUUGAACAAAGUUUGAAUUCAAUUUAUCCAGCGGAACUCUCAUAAAUACCUAACCUAUAAACAUCUGACGGUAACCUCGCAAUAUCUAGUGCAACAAAUAACAUGAAACGAGAAACGUUCCGCGAGAGAAUCGCAACAAAGUAGUAAGUAGAUGCGUAAUGUCGAAAGAGGGCAGCUUGGCGGCAGUGUAUUAAACAUCAAAGACAAGAGUAGGAAAGAGAAAGGGAAUCUGAAUGGUGAGAGGAGGAGGUUGGUAAAAGUGGGCAAGAUCGCGCGCGCUUGAAAAGGCAUCCAUCGGCCUCUCUUUCAGCGGCGCGCAUGAAACGAGCGCGCGGUAUCGGCGCGGCGAUGGAGCGGAGAGCGCGCGUAAUCAAUCAGUUUCAUGGGAGCACGGAGGCCCGGCGCGUUAAUGCCUGGUAGAAAACUGAAUACACGCGCGGUUACCGCGCUCGCCAGACGAGGAUUCGGCCGAGUGCAACGCGCAAGAUGAAUACGGGACCGACUACGAAUGCAUGCUUGCACCAGCUACCGUUCGCUGGAUAGUUGCCUCAAUGCCCGAUCCCUGUGUGCACGUGUCUUCGUAUAUAUAUGCGGUGUCUCAGAAUUAUAGGUCAAUUAGAUUGGUGAUGGAACACAGCUAUACGCGCGUUAUGGAUACGAGUUGAUACGUUUGCUGACGAGCAUGACCUGUUUGGAAUGAGCAGUUGUUAAGUAUUACGAACCACUCAAGACAUCAAUUCGUUGGCGUACGAAAAGCGAAUCGAAUUCCGAGUUCGAGGACGGAGAAGAUGAAAACUGUCGAAAUAUUCGCACAUGCCUGCUCAUAACUUAAUGGAGUUGACAAGUUGUCGACGAGGAUGAUGGACUGCGCUAGAUCCAGGGGAUUCCUGCAACCCCAACGCGGGGCUAAAAACGGAUUCGCCACGGGCAGCUGCGGCGACGCGACUCCUCUCGCCUUCUAGCUCAUUUUCCUCCUCCUUAUUUUUCGGGGGAAAUCAACUCUCUCGCUUUCUCUCUCGUCCGUGUAAUCGGUUUUUCUGUUGUGUCACUUGAACAUGGCAGCCUUUGUGCACACGCGUGUUUUACACGAGACCCGUGUCCAGAAUUAUGCACGGGACGACCCCUCGUCAGAACUUCGAGAAGCGAAAACCACUUUAUUAUAUGCCCGUCGAAAUUUUCAUUCAUACUCGUUUUACUUCGUCAUGGUUCCUUAAUACCGUUCGAUGCUGAAAUAUAAACGCGAACGUGCGUAGCUUAUGCGUAAUAGGUUCAUUGUUUAGUCUAUAGAAUCUUCCUUGAGUGAAAAGUUAGUCAGGUGUUUAAUAGACGAUAAUGACUAUGGUAGAUAGACUUAUAUAAUUAUUUUUUUAACCUUACCUCGAUUACUCAAAGCGUCAGUAUAGUAUUGUGAGAUAGAGACAAACUGUAUUAAAUUAGUGGAACUACCUUUAUGGAAUCUGGUAAGCGAUGAUUUUUACGUGUUCAAUUAUUUUUUGGUUUGCUAAAUGAUAUCAUAACGUAUAAUAGUGAUAUUAAAAAAUAAAGAUGACUUGUAUAGAUAGCGAACAAAAAUUGAACGUGAUUUAUAAUUUCAGGAAGAGGAAAUUUGGAUCUACCGAUAUGGAAAUGAAUUUCGGUAAAUUUAUACCCGAUGGUAAUAUAUCGUUAUCUUAGUUACAGUUGAUAAAGUAGAAAAUGCUAUACAAGUAUGCUCACCUGAUAUGCAUUUUAUUCUAAUGGUUAUUUUAAUGUCAUUCCCGACGUUACCGAUGCAGCAAAGAAGAAGAUUAGAAUAUCAGUAGCGGUUGGAAUUAAAACUAAAUCUCACGUAUCAAACUAUGAAUAAAGUAGAUGGUAUAGAUAAAUAGAAAGGAUAGAUAAGGAUUAUCAAGUAUUCAUAAGUAGCCGAUGUAACAAUUAUCUUUCUACUAAUACUACUAACUUAUUAAUCUUUCCACUUCGCUAUUUUUUGUUCUUACUGAUUUUUGUGUGCGAAAGAAGUAACUGUCGAAUAAAAAUUAAAUACAGUUUCUAGGCUUAAGUCUACUACAAUUUUGAACUUACUUUCUAAAGUCUCAUUACACACCUUUACAUUAACAAU